GAGCGCGAGCUCCGACACGGCGUGAGGACGGGGGAGCAGAGCGGAGGCCCCGGCGCAGAGGCAAGGCGGAUUCAGGGUCACAGCCCCCGCGGCCGCCGGGCUUGGGGCCUGCAGCACGGGGUGGGCCCGUCCGUUUCUGUCAUGCUCCCCCCCACCACGGGAGCCCCGGGAGACACGCGGACCGUGGGGCCGUCGUGAGAGGUGCUGCCAGGGUGGCGCCUGCUGGGGAGCCAGCGUUGGUGCCCCUCCCGCGCCGCGCGGUGGGUGGUGCAGGGGGCUGGGAGGGGCACGCGCAGGCCGGGCUCACGCCAAGCCAGGCCGGUCCGAGCGCCCCAAGGCCGGUCCGGCCUCCGUUUCCCACCGACACCGGGAGGCCGAGGACGCGCGGCUGCUGGACCUGCUGGAGGCCGGGCGCCCGGGACCGAGCCCGCCUGCAGACUCCCGGCGGGGUCCUCCGCCCGCCGCGCUCAGCGCUGUGCCUGCCCGGCCGGAGGCGCCCCGAAGCGGGCCGCGCAGUGGGGUCCGGCCCUGGGGCGCAGCUCCGCCUUCCCCGCCCUGCGCGCCUGGAGGGGACCCGGGGACCCCGCGAGGGAGGCCCAGCCGCAGCCGGACGUGGGGCUCGCGGGUGCCGCAGGGAGCUGGGGGGGAGGGGAGGGGGGAGGGGAGGGGGAGCGGGCGGCCCUCGGUGCGGCCCUCGGUGCUCCCCACGUCCGGAUUCUCCUGCCACUGACGCUGUGUGGUCGCGUGACAUUGGCCGCCCCGGGGUCCCGGGUGCGAGCGGCGGGCUCGGGAGAGCGGGCGCAGGGCCACGGCUGGAGUGGGCCGUGCUGCCCGCCCCGCCCCGCCCAGCCCCGCCCGCCCGCCGAGCCCGGAAGGAAAGUGAGGGUGUAGCGCCCCCUCAUGGCGAACCCACGUUACGGCGGCGCAGGAGGGCAGGGCCUGGGGCUGCGGCAGGGGGCAGGGGCUGCGGGCAGGGGCAGGGGCUGCAGGGGCAGGGGCCCCACGACACCCAGGCGGUGGGAAAUGAGCCUUCCUCCGGGCGGCCCUCCCCCAGGCCAGCACCAGCCUGCUGUCCCCCGACAGCCGAUUCCCUCACGCGGGUCCCAAUUACUGGUAAGUGGCCAGGAACACUGAACAGACAGGAACCAAGACCCCCACCCACACCCGCACCCCAGAGCCCGGAAUGA
RNAcentral lists this long non-coding RNA (1187 nucleotides) under Canis lupus familiaris (dog). RNAcentral's name for it is "lncRNA (ENSCAFG00030005190.1)". Lineage: Eukaryota; Metazoa; Chordata; Mammalia; Carnivora; Canidae. The record is from RNAcentral.